This 395-nucleotide ribosomal RNA is filed under the name uncultured bacterium. Its description in RNAcentral is "bacterial SSU rRNA". It matches the Rfam family "Bacterial small subunit ribosomal RNA", at positions 505 to 898 of the family's 1533-position model. The record is from RNAcentral.
GUGUCAGCAGCCGCGGUAAUACGUAGGUGGCAAGCGUUGUCCGGAAUUACUGGGUGUAAAGGGCGUGUAGGCGGGAGACUAAGUCAGAUGUGAAAUUCCGAAGCUCAACUUCGGGGCUGCAUCUGAAACUGGACUUCUUGAGUGCUGGAGAGGAAAGCGGAAUUCCUAGUGUAGCGGUGAAAUGCGUAGAUAUUAGGAGGAACACCAGUGGCGAAGGCGGCUUUCUGGACAGUAACUGACGCUGAGGCGCGAAAGCGUGGGGAGCAAACAGGAUUAGAUACCCUGGUAGUCCACGCCGUAAACGAUGGAUACUAGGUGUAGGAGGUAUCGACCCCUUCUGUGCCGGAGUUAACACAAUAAGUAUCCCACCUGGGGAGUACGGCCGCAAGGUUGAA